AAUCAACGCUGGCGGCGUGCCUAACACAUGCAAGUCGAGCGAGAAAGGGGACUUCGGUUCCUGAGUACAGCGGUGGACGGGUGAGUAACGCGUGGGUAAUCUACCCUCGAGUGGGGAAUAACACCGGGAAACUGGUGCUAAUACCGCAUGACAUCCUCGGAUCUUCGGGUCUGGGGAUCAAAGCCGGGGACCGCAAGGCCUGGCGCUUGGGAAGGAGCCCGCGUCCGAUUAGCUUGUUGGCGGGGUAACGGCCCACCAAGGCUUCGAUCGGUAGCCGGCCUGAGAGGGCGGACGGCCACACUGGGACUGAGACACGGCCCAGACUCCUACGGGAGGCAGCAGUGGGGAAUUUUUCGCAAUGGGGGCAACCCUGACGAAGCAACGCCGCGUGGAGGAUGAAGGCCCUCGGGUCGUAAACUCCUGUCGACCGGGACGAAAGCAGCUCGGGUCAAUACCCCGGGUUGUUGACUGUACCGGUGGAGGAAGCUCCGGCUAACUCUGUGCCAGCAGCCGCGGUAAUACAGAGGGAGCAAGCGUUGUUCGGAAUUACUGGGCGUAAAGGGCGCGUAGGCGGCUGGGUCAGUUUCGUGUGAAAUCCCUCGGCUCAACUGAGGAACUGCACGGAAUACUGCCCGGCUUGAGUUCGGGAGAGGGAAGCGGAAUUCCGGGUGUAGCGGUGAAAUGCGCAGAUAUCCGGAGGAACACCAGUGGCGAAGGCGGCUUCCUGGACCGUGACUGACGCUGAGGCGCGAAAGCUAGGGGAGCGAACGGGAUUAGAUACCCCGGUAGUCCUAGCCGUAAACGAUGAGUGCUGGGUGUAGGGGGUAUUGACCCCCCUGUGCCGAAGCUAACGCAUUAAGCACUCCGCCUGGGGAGUACGGUCGCAAGGCUG
RNAcentral lists this ribosomal RNA (892 nucleotides) under uncultured Acidobacteriota bacterium. RNAcentral's name for it is "bacterial SSU rRNA". It matches the Rfam family "Bacterial small subunit ribosomal RNA", at positions 28 to 896 of the family's 1533-position model. The record is from RNAcentral. Lineage: Bacteria; Pseudomonadati; Acidobacteriota.